RNAcentral lists this long non-coding RNA (271 nucleotides) under Mytilus galloprovincialis (Mediterranean mussel). Lineage: Eukaryota; Metazoa; Mollusca; Bivalvia; Mytilida; Mytilidae. The record is from RNAcentral.
UUAAUGUAAAAUACUCUUUUCAUUUACGGAACCAGCAUUGUGAUUGUGUUGCCGAUGCAAUGGCAGAAUGGUCUUAGCAUUCAGUACCAUGAGAAGACUUGAGAAUUACAAAUAUAAUCAAGCAAUUAUCUGGCUUGGUCUUUUGAACAUAAACCGUGAAAAAAUAAAAAGGAUUUUUCAUGAUUUAAUAACACCAAGCAAGCAACUAUUAAUAUUGUCUUUCAUGUCUGUUUUAUGAUGUAUUUUUGCAUAACACUAUUUUUAUCACUGG